AGAGUUUGAUCAUGGCUCAGAUUGAACGCUGGCGGCAGGCCUAACACAUGCAAGUCCAACGGUAACAGGAUAGCUUGCUAUCGCUGACCAGUGGCGGACGGGUGAGUAAUACUUAGGGAUCUGCCUCUGUGUGGGGGAUAACUAUUGGAAACGAUAGCUAAUACCGCAUAAUGUCUCCGGACCAAAGAGGGCUUUUAGCUCUCGCGCAGAGAGGAACCUAAGCGAGAUUAGCUAGUUGGUGAGGUAAAGGCUCACCAAGGCGACAAUCUCUAGCUGUUCUGAGAGGAAGAUCAGCCACACUGGAACUG
This 308-nucleotide ribosomal RNA is filed under the name uncultured gamma proteobacterium SUR-ATT-2. Its description in RNAcentral is "bacterial SSU rRNA". It matches the Rfam family "Bacterial small subunit ribosomal RNA", at positions 8 to 321 of the family's 1533-position model. Lineage: Bacteria; Pseudomonadati; Pseudomonadota; Gammaproteobacteria. The record is from RNAcentral.